Molecule: long non-coding RNA, 414 nt
Organism: Nothoprocta perdicaria
Lineage: Eukaryota; Metazoa; Chordata; Aves; Tinamiformes; Tinamidae
Exons: 2
Source: RefSeq, a predicted model, not a curated record
CUUUUCUGUCUAAUCAUGUUCAGCUGCUAGUAGCAAAAGGGGUUCUGUGAGUGCUGACCUAUAGUAAGUAUCUGGACUGAUGUGCCUCUGAAAUAACUGGGGAAUGAGGGAACAACUUGCUCCUACCAGAGCUUCUUGAGGUGUGCUUUGCAAAAGGUCCCCAGGAGAGAGAACAGAUCUUCACACAGAGCAUUAUUUUCUUGAAUAGAUGCCUUUCAAUUUUGACUUCAACUCUCAGAAAUGGAUUUUCAUUUAUACUGUGUCUGCAUUGCACUUCCCUGACUAUGUAAGGAGGCUUUAAAAUGGAUGUGCAUUGCACUUGCAGCCUCUUACAGCUUCUUUACAGAGCUACAGCAACGUCAAGAAAUUCUAGUGCCCGAGAGAAGACAUGUGGGACUGUUGGAAUGGAAGUGC